This 433-nucleotide ribosomal RNA is filed under the name uncultured bacterium. RNAcentral describes it as "partial 16S ribosomal RNA". It matches the Rfam family "Bacterial small subunit ribosomal RNA", at positions 29 to 507 of the family's 1533-position model. The record is from RNAcentral.
AACGAACGCUGGCGGCAUGCCUAACACAUGCAAGUCGAACGAAGGCUUCGGCCUUAGUGGCGCACGGGUGCGUAACGCGUGGGAAUCUGCCCUUUGGUUCGGAAUAACAGCUGGAAACGGCUGCUAAUACCGGAUGAUUACGAAAGUCCAAAGAUGUAUCGCCAGAGGAUGAGCCCGCGUUUGAUUAGGUAGUGGGUGGGGUAAAGGCCUACCAAUCCGACGAUCCAUAGCUGGUCUGAGAGGAUGCUAAGCCACACCGGGACUGAGACACGGCCCAGACUCCGACGGGAGGCAGCAGAGGAGUAUAUUGGAGGAGGAGCGCAAGCCUGAUGAAGCCGUGCCGCGGAAGUGAUGAAGGCGCUAGGGUUGUAAAGCUCUUUUACACGGAAAGAUAAUGACGGUACCGGGAGAAUAAGCCCCGGCUAACUCCGUG